Molecule: ribosomal RNA, 447 nt
Filed under: uncultured bacterium
Lineage: Bacteria
Description: partial 16S ribosomal RNA
Rfam family: Bacterial small subunit ribosomal RNA
Source: RNAcentral
CCCAGACUCCUACGGGAGGCAGCAGUGGGGAAUAUUGGGCAAUGGGCGCAAGCCUGACCCAGCAACGCCGCGUGAAGGAAGAAGGCUUUCGGGUUGUAAACUUCUUUUGACAGGGAAGAGCAGAAGACGGUACCUGAUGAAUAAGCUCCGGCUAACUACGUGCCAGCAGCCGCGGUAAUACGUAGGGAGCAAGCGUUAUCCGGAUUUACUGGGUGUAAAGGGCGCGUAGGCGGGAUGGCAAGUCAGAUGUAAAAUCCAAGGGCUCAACCCUUGAACUGCAUUUGAAACUGUCGUUCUUGAGUACUGGAGAGGUUGACGGAAUUCCUAGUGUAGCGGUGAAAUGCGUAGAUAUUAGGAGGAACACCAGUGGCGAAGGCGGUCUGCUGGACAGCAACUGACGCUGAGGCGCGAAAGCGUGGGGAGCAAACAGGAUUAGAUACCCUAGUA